GAUGAACGCUGGCGGCGUGCCUAAUACAUGCAAGUCGAGCGAACGGACGAUAAGCUUGCUUUUCUGAUGUUAGCGGCGGACGGGUGAGUAACACGUGGAUAACCUACCUAUAAGACUGGGAGAACUUCGGGAAACCGGAGCUAAUACCGGAUCAUAUUUUGAACCGCAGGGUUCAAAAGUGAAUGACGGUCUUCCCGUCACUUAUAGAUGGUUCCGUGCUGCAUUAGCUAGUUGGUAAGGUAACGGCCUACCAAGGCAACGAUGCAUAGCCGACCUGAGAGGAUGAUCGGCCACACUGGGACUGAGACACGGUCCAGACUCCUACGGGAGGCAGCAGUAGGGAAUCUUGCGCAAUGGGCGAAAGCCUGACGGAGCAACGCCGCGUGAGUGAUGAAGGUCUUCGGAUCGUAAAACUCUGUUAUUAGGGAAGAACAUAUGUGUAAGUAACUGUGCACAUCUUGAAGGUACCUAAUCAGAAAGCAACGGCUAACUACGUG
RNAcentral lists this ribosomal RNA (497 nucleotides) under uncultured bacterium. RNAcentral describes it as "partial 16S ribosomal RNA". It matches the Rfam family "Bacterial small subunit ribosomal RNA", at positions 28 to 507 of the family's 1533-position model. The record is from RNAcentral.